CGACAAACGUAAUUAAUCGCCGAUACAAUCUGCGACGUACUUACCGGAAACCUGCGAUCCGCUUGUGCUUCCUGCGCUCUCUGGAAUAUUUCCUGCAAACAGAAGAAAAACAACGUGUAGCGACAAACAGAGAUUACUAAUGUGUCCAUACAAAUACAGAUAUGAAUAAAUAUGUAAAUACCAGACAGGAUGAUUCAAAUUAAUGCUAGGAAAAUGGCUUUGUGCAUUCUCCGCCAGUGCUGCCACCACCGGAGAAUACCGUAAACAGCCGAUUAAACAAAUACACCGGUUUAAAUAGCGGGUACAUGAAAAAUGUGUUAUAAUAUUAUUUGAAAAGUAUUAGUAAGUGCAAUUCGUG
Sitophilus oryzae (rice weevil) is the source of this 358-nucleotide long non-coding RNA. RefSeq lists it as uncharacterized. The transcript has 3 exons. Lineage: Eukaryota; Metazoa; Arthropoda; Insecta; Coleoptera; Curculionidae. The record is from RefSeq and is a predicted model, not a curated record.